RNAcentral lists this transfer RNA (76 nucleotides) under Mobiluncus mulieris 28-1. RNAcentral's name for it is "tRNA-Thr". It matches the Rfam family "tRNA". Rfam says of the family: Transfer RNA (tRNA) molecules are approximately 80 nucleotides in length. Their secondary structure includes four short double-helical elements and three loops (D, anti-codon, and T loops). Lineage: Bacteria; Bacillati; Actinomycetota; Actinomycetes; Actinomycetales; Actinomycetaceae. The record is from RNAcentral.
GCCCCGGUAGCUCAGUCGGCAGAGCGUCUCCAUGGUAAGGAGAAGGUCCAGAGUUCGAUUCUCUGCCGGGGCUCGC